Long non-coding RNA from Homalodisca vitripennis (glassy-winged sharpshooter), 5289 nucleotides. RefSeq lists it as uncharacterized. The transcript is spliced from 3 exons. NCBI's taxonomy places the organism in Eukaryota, Metazoa, Arthropoda, Insecta, Hemiptera, Cicadellidae. The record is from RefSeq and is a predicted model, not a curated record.
UUGUUACAACACACAGGUUUUAUUUGUUUUAUUCCUUAACGCUGAUAACAAUCUGUGUUAGACAAACUAGUAAUCAAACUGUCUAUUUUGAAAAAUAUUUGGAAGACUGAUGUCCGAAGAAUUAAGGGUUUAUACAGUAUUGUUAAACCCAGAGGCCUAAAAUUGUUUCUAUUUUUAUUCCCACUUUACUUUUAAUGAAUAAUUUGUGUUAUAUUUUUACCGUAGACUAUUUUUGGCACUAUCUGGACCUCCAAUUUAAAAUAAAGAGAGCUUAAAAUAACUAUUUAGAACAAGAUGAUCCUUGUAAUAAGAGAAUAUCUCAUACAACCACUUUUCCCUUAAGUUUAUUAAUUGAAAACUAAGAGACAUCCUUUAUUGUUUUGAAUACUUGAUCUUAAGCUCCAGGCUUUGUAAAGUGGUGUUUAUAUUUUGUUUAAAAACGUCUUAAACGUCUGGGAUAAAGAAAUUAAAAUGUAAUAUAUUAAUUCAUUUAUGGUUUUAGUAUUAAACCACAAGCACCUAAAAGUUCUUUGUUAACCGUUUCUAAAUAAAUGUGAAGUGCCAAAUAUUCAAAGAACACAACGAUAUUUUUAAUGCAUAUUUUAUAGUUAAGAUACAUUUCAAAUUAGAUGUUAAGCAUUUCCAAUAUGAUGUCUUGUUUUCGAAAAAGAUUUUAAGCAUGUAGAUAUUGCUAAAUAUUUAAAAUUCUAAAACAAUUAUCCAACUUAUCGGUCUUGAAUGCAUGAGUAAUGAAAUAUUUUAAACAAGUCUCUGCGAACUUUAGAAAAGUGUGUAAACAAUCGAAACACACACCAUUAAACAGGGGUUUCCUAAAUUAACAAAUGUAUUUUCCAUUUGUGAUCUGAUGAAUUCUGACCCGUUUGGUUUCCGACCUUUUUGACAGGCGAUGGUCAAAAGUUUCCUUGCGAUGUUUGUGGGCGGACAUAUAAGUACAAACAUAACCUGAACUUCCACCUACGCUGGGAGUGCAACAGGGAACCAACAUUUCAGUGUCCCAGUUGUCCGUGGCGAGCCAAGGUGAAGAGUUCCCUCAAGAGACACAUGGUCACGCAGCACGACCAGGUCUACCAUCAUUGAUCAUGCAAAUCCACUUUUGUAUACAUUAUUAGUAUUAUGUAUUUUAUUAAGUAUUAAGACAUAUAUUUGUAUGUAUUAAAAGGAAUGAUUAAUUUUUAUUUGUCUUUAACUGUUUACCUAACCUGAGUAAAGUCACAAUGUACUAGAGAUAAAGGAUUAUAUAUUUAUACAACAGUAUAGAUACUUUUGAGCUUGCAAUGAAAGAUUAUGAAUAAAUUAAGCAACAAAUUAUAAAUGUCGUGAAGAGUGAUUGCAUUCAAGGCCUAUGUCUAGAAAGAGUUGUUAUGUUAGUAGAGUUGUAGUAGGUGGGGAAGCUAAGGUACCUGCUAUAAUUUAAGUUCAAACUAAAGGAAUGAUUAGAGGGAUUAAGUUGAAUUAUUAAAAUACAAGCUUUCAUACGGAAAGGAUCGGAACUUCGCCGCAAUAUUUAGAGACAAUCUGUAAUCUGUGUUUUACAGGAUUGGUUUAAUGAUGUGUGUCGUAGAAUUACCCCCAUUAUUGCGUAAUGACAAAUUACAACAUUUCUUUAUAAAAUAUAAAUUUCUGAUAGUGGAAGUUAAAAAUCUUCCAUUGAUUUGAUUAAUGUAUUUCACUGUAAAGCGUAAUAAAAACGUCCGUUCUCUUUUUUAUCUUUUAAUAAUAAAGUAUACAGGGUAAAUAUCAGAUAAACUAGGAAAAAUUAGGAUUUUUGGUGACCCCUCAGUUUGAAAAUCAUAAACAACUUAAUAAAUUUAGAGAUCGCUAUCUCUUUUCCACCCAAAAUAAUAGCCAGAGUUAUCAGAACAAUAUAUGAGGGAUGACUUGAAAAUUUAAAAUUAAAUUUCAAAUUGUUGAGUUGCCUCCAAAAUACUGCAUUUUUGGGAGACUUAAAAAUGUUUUAAAUCAACAAAUGACACUUCCCUUCCACAUUGUACCACUACCUAAAGGAUAUCUCCUUAUCUAAACUUAAAAAUAGUGGAUCCUGAAUUUUUAUUCACACUGUAGGAAAACACAAUAGAAGGCAGGAUAGAAAAAUGUACUUAAUCCUAAAAGGUCCUUGCGCUACUUCCGGAGUGACGGUAUAUUCCGGAUAGUUGAGUUUGAGGGUAGGGGCCGCCUCCUGUUAAGAUCUAUGAGAAAGGAUUUAGGGCAUUAAUCUCAGUCACGUCUCCUCAAAGCAGGGGAACCCAGCUUUGAACCAGCCUCUCCAGUCAAAGCAGGCAGGGGUCGGCACGCCCGUAUUUCCGGGCUAGCAACAGCCCUUAACGCUUAAGAAGACCCACCAACUCCAGUAGACUUGAACUAUUUAUGUAUCCUUGCACCCAAUAUCAUGGAUUUUGCGGUUAUUGAUUUGCCGCGUAUGGACCUCCAUAAGGUCGUCCAGAUUUAAGUGACGCAUCAGUUUUUGCUGUACCCAGAGUAGAUUCAACUGGAAGGUAUAUACCAGCCAGAAUGAACCCUCCUUGGUAGGCAGAAUAGUUUGCUCACCUAUUAAUGUUUCCUAUAAAAAGGCAGACAGCCGAUAAGUUGACACUUGACGAGUUUUGUUGCAGUGGCAUUGCAGGAACGAAUGGAACAACGCUUCUCUUGCAGUUGCGGCAAGUCCUACAAGCACAAGCAGCAUCUAAAUCAUCACGAGCGCUACGAGUGCGGCAAGGAAGCGCAGUUCGCUUGCCAACUUUGCUCGUACAGGGCGAGACAGAAACGCUCCCUCGUGACUCACAUGGUGCUGGCCCAUAACACCCAACUGACCGGAGGAUACCCAUGUGUGAGGCCACGACGACCGAGAUAGUUUUGUAUUAACAGAGUAACACAGUGGUGGACAGUAAUAGUACCUGCUUACUUGAAUUUACAACAUGUGCUUGAAGUACAUUUUACUAGACUAUACUUUAGACCAUUAUGAGAAUUAGAAAUCAUUAGUACUCAGAAUUAUAAUAUGUGACUACUUGUAAAUACAUACUACUUAAAACUGAAUAGCAGAUAUUACGAUACUUAUUGCAAAUACUACAUAAUUCCAGUCAGCAAAUUGUGAUUUUUCCACUUCACGUUAUGUUAGCAAAUAUGUUUAAAUAUAAGCUGGUUUUUGUUUAAUUGAUAGUGUACAUAUUGUUGGUUUUCUAGAAAAUACUUUGUUUACUCGCCCUUAUUGUUGAUAGAAAACAUGUUAUUGUUGGACUGAGCAAUACCGUCACUUUUAACUAAUCGUCAAUACGAGUUAAGUAUUUCCUACUUAGUACUAUAGGUUUGUUUUUCCUUUUGGCGGUUUCGUUUUUAUUUUCUAUAUUUUUAACAUGAAGUAUUAUUUUUAUUCUGAAAGCCACCAUAACUAUAGUUUUUUUGUAUAUAGUACAUUGUAUUAAUAUUUAAAUGUUAGGCAUGUUUCAUUUUUGUCAGUCAGUUCAGUUCCUAAAAUGUUUUGCUCGCUUUGUUCUCCUCGUCAUACGUCAACUCCCUGAGCCCUCUCCCUCAAGUGGCUGUAUUCUGUCUAUACCAUUGCAAGUGAAUCAAUUCAGAUUUUGUAUAUCGACACAGAUUGCGUCACAGUUUUACAAUAAUUGUCACACACACUUAAACGUAAGCCAAUAGUCAGUCUAUUCAUGUUUAUUGCCGUCGUGAACAUUUUGGGACCCCCCUUACACCUAAACUCUACGAUUGCAUUGUUCUCUGUUGCUCAUAAUGGUUUCAAUGGAAACAAUUUCUUGACUUCACAUCGGCACGGCUGCAAUGUUCCAUUAUCAUCGUCUGUGAUAUUUAUAGUAGUUGUUCGCAAUUAUCGCCUGUUCUCUAUCAUUAUGUUUCAAACAGAAUAAUAUUAUUAGUUCCCUUUAACUAGUUAAUAAGGCAAUAUCAUGCAAUUAUUAAAGAUUUGGUUUAUUAUUGUACGUUAAUUACGAACUUUAGGUAGUUUUUAUUACCUAUGUAAAGUGAAAUUGACGUUUAUUUAAAGUUGUGUUGUGUAAUAAAUGUUUUUAAACCUCUUUUGUAUUCAAUUAUUGCUUUAUUGUUGAAAAUAUACAUUUGUAGCAUUAAGUGACAGUUCCAAUUGUUAAAUUAGGAUAUUUCCGUGUCAAAAUAAAAAACCCUCACGGCUUUGUACAAUAAAACCCUAGUCCGGCCUCUUACGUAACAACUGUAGUAGGCGCGAUAUUGCUAUUUCACAUUGGCUAUCUAAAUUACCAGUGUGUACGUACGUAUUUUUAAAAGAUCGCAUUAAAACGCGUGUUUUUAGAAUCUACAAGGUUGGUGGAUGGCACCACUGAUUGGGUCGUCUGUUGGCAGAACUGGAGCGCCAUAUGUGUCAUAGAUGUGGCCGGUCCUACAAACAGAAGCAGCACCUCAACCACCAUUCACGGUACGAGUGUGGAAGAGAGCCUCACCUGAAGUGUCCAUGUUGUCCCUGGAAGACCAAGACGCGGAGCUCGCUCAAGCGGCACGUCGGCACCAAGCACUCGGAUUAUUUCCGAAAUUUUAACUUGUGUUAGUGGACAAUGGCACCUUAGAGUGACAAGAAAUGAUGAGCGGAGGCGACAAGUUCCCAUGCCCGAACUGCUCUCGCUGCUACAAGAGGAAGGGCCACCUGAACCAACAUCUUCGCUACGAGUGUAACCGAGAACCUCAGUUCGCCUGUACUCUCUGCUCCUACAAGGGCAAGAGAAAAAGUUCUCUUCAUUCCCACUAUCUGUUCAAGCACAAGAUCAACAUGCCUAGCAGUACAGUUUGAUAUCUGGAGGAGGAUAGACGUUUAGGGUAAUUCUGACCUCAAAGGUUUGGUGGACCGGGUACAACUCUCGAGUAGCGACGGCUCGGCACGGUUCGGCUGCCCCAACUGUGGACGCUCCUACAAGCACAAGUACAACUUUGUCCGGCACCAGAGAUACGAAUGUCAUCGCUCCCGCCAGUUCCCUUGCCCACAUUGCCCCUACAAGGCCAAUUACAAACAGUCAUUGCAAAGUCACGUAGCCCUAAAGCACCGGGAGGUGUAUAAUGCCGAUGAAAUUGAGAGGGCAGUUCUUUAAUUCAGAUUGAGUCAGCUCGGAAUAACUACAUUGUACCUCUGCCAUAAUAUUUAUCAAGGAACAUACACACCUAUUGUGUAAUGAACUAAGGUUCCUGUUGCACUGACCGUGUAAGGUAUAUCAAUACAUAUAUUAUUUACGAAUGGAAAAUUAUGGCAACAUAAUUAAUAAAUUAUUGUUCUUGUUUUUAUAUUUA